Callithrix jacchus (white-tufted-ear marmoset) is the source of this 1882-nucleotide long non-coding RNA. Lineage: Eukaryota; Metazoa; Chordata; Mammalia; Primates; Cebidae. The record is from Ensembl.
GCUUGGGAGGAGCCCAGGCCCUGGUGUGUUCCGGAUGCUGUUGCCUGGGGCCUCAGCCCCACCCAGGCAGUGAUGACCCUGCAAGGCCCAGCCUCCCAUCCACCUGUCUGUACCCGUGUGUGCAGGGCUCCAGGUGUUCCCUCGGGUGCCGCCUCGCUGCCUGCUGAGCUUUCCUGCACUUGGACUGGUGGCCUGUGCUGCCCCUGUGGGCACAACCCAGUGCCCAGUGCCUCCCCCUACCCACAGAGUGCCUCAGGACAGCUCAUCCCUGUCCACCGGGGACUAGCACCGUCACUGACCUCUCAGAGUUAUGGGGACGCAGUGCAUGUCAAGAGCCCGGCUCCUUCUCAAAGACAAAAUACUGCCGCCUGGAACGCCUCACUGUGACAUGACACUGUGACACAAUUGCAUGCUGCGAAGAGCAGUCUGCUCCUUUUCUACAGAUGAGAAAACCAGCGCUGCCGGGUCGUCAGCCAAUUCAGCACAAUGAGAAGGAUAGAACCUGAGCCUGACGCCGAAGCGGCAGACCUAGAUGAAGAGAGUCCCUUCAGUGUCUUUCCUAUGUGACUAUUAAGCAUGCGUGAGGGAGGCAUCAACCCAGUCCAUCACAGUCCAGGCGUCGGAGGGAAAGCCAAGUCCAAGGCCUGUUUUACACUCUGAGUUUUCCUCUGGAUGAAUAAAACAGUUCAUUAUUGAGAUGGCCACUGAGUCCUGCACCCGAAACGUCGAUAGCCAAGGUAAUUGGGGGCCUCUGUCGGCCACUCAGUCCUUAAGAAGAAUUUUCAGGUAGAUUUCAGCUGGGAGCACUGAAUUCUACUUAGAAUGUAAAAUGCGUCUGUGAAGUGUUUCCUCUGAAGUGGGAACAGGUAAUUGAUUUUUUUAAAGAAAGCCACCUUUCUGGAUUCUGGGAAACACUUUUAGGUCUGUCUUUUAUUUUUCUGUGCAUAAAGGCAAUUAUCCCAGGUCAGCACUUCCCACAGGAAAUGGGACUCUAAUUCUGCACAACAAAUGUUUUACUGUUUCAUUUUCCUUAUUGCAGGAGAGAUUGCUGUAGCAGCUUGUUUCACAUCAGAGUGAGAAAAACCAAGCCCUGCCUUAAACAGUGGCUGAGGUUAGAGACUCCACAAGGUUUGGAAAGUCUCCUCUCUGUGUCCAACUCACUGUGUGUUGCUGGGGGAGUUGUUUUCCUGCUCCGUGCCUUAGUUUCCCCAUCUGUACAGCAGUGAUCAGCACAGCACCACCUCUAUUAAUUCCCAGCAGUGGUAGAUAGUAAAAAUGGCCACACGAUUCCAUUUCUCUCUAUGCCCUUUGGAAAUCUGUUCCCACCCUGACAAGGAUCACGGCCAUGUGGCCAAUGGCGACAAUAACAAACCUAAUGCCAACCGAGGCUUGAAAGCACCCACUGCUCUUUGGAACGCUGAGACCUCGGUGAAUGAGCCUGAGCUAGCCUGUUGGAGGGUGAGAGGCCACAUGAGACAGAGGUGAGCCCUCCCAGCUGCACCAGACAGAAGCCUGAGGACAUUCUAGAUGAGCUGGCCCAGACCAGAAGAUCCAUAGAAUUGUUAGGAAUAAUUGCUUAUUUUUGUUUGUUUGAGAGACAGUCUUGCUCCUCACUCAGGCUGGAGUGUGGUGGCGCAAUCUCAGCUGACUGCAACCUCUACUUCUCGGGUUCAAGAGAUUCUCCUGCCUCAGCCUCCCGAGUUGCUGGGAUCAUAGGUGCCCACUACUCCCGGCUAAGUUUUGUAUUUUUAGUAGAGACAAGGUUUCACCAUGUUGGCCAGUCUGAUCUUGAACUCUUGACCUCAGGUGAUCCGCAUGCCUGGGCCUCCCAAAGUGCUGGGAUUAUAGGUGUGAGCCACCGCACCCGGCCAGCGUGUUGUUU